This 663-nucleotide ribosomal RNA is filed under the name uncultured bacterium. Its description in RNAcentral is "bacterial SSU rRNA". It matches the Rfam family "Bacterial small subunit ribosomal RNA", at positions 57 to 716 of the family's 1533-position model. The record is from RNAcentral.
GCAGUCGAGGGGCAGCACAGGUAGCAAUACUGGGUGGCGACCGGCGCACGGGUGCGUAACGCGUAUGCAACCUACCUAUAAUAGGGGGAUAGCCUUCUGAAAGGGAGAUUAAGACCGCAUAAUACAACUGACUCGCAUGGAUUGGUUGUAAAAUAUUUAUAGAUUAUAGAUGGGCAUGCGUCUGAUUAGAUAGUUGGAGAGGUAACGGCUCACCAAGUCAACGAUCAGUAGGGGUUCUAAGAGGAAGGUCCCCCACAUUGGAACUGAGACACGGUCCAAACUCCUACGGGAGGUAGCAGUGAGGAAUAUUGGUCAAUGGGCGAGAGCCUGAACCAGCCAUCCCGCGUGCAGGAAGAAUGCCCUAUGGGUUGUAAACUGCUUUUUCGCAUGAAGAACAUCCCGAACGUGUUUGGGACUGACGGUAAUGCGUGGAUAAGCACCGGCUAACUCCGUGCCAGCAGCCGCGGUAAUACGGAGGGUGCAAGCGUUAUCCGGAUUUAUUGGGUUUAAAGGGUGCGUAGGCGGCUAUUUAAGUCAGUGGUGAGAUCCUGCAGCUCAACUGUAGAACAGCCAUUGAAACUGAGUAGCUUGAGUGAUCUUGAGGUAGGCGGAAUGUGUAGUGUAGCGGUGAAAUGCUUAGAUAUUACACAGAACACCGAUUGC